AGCUUUGCACAGUGGCAGUAUCGUAGCCAAUGAGGUUUAUCCGAGGCGCGAUUAUUGCUAAUAGAAAUUUCUAUAACCAAAAUGUUAACCUUCUGCUGUUAUCUUUGUUAAACAUAAUUCCUUUUGUUGUCAUAUUUUGUAUG
This is a small nuclear RNA of Lutra lutra (Eurasian river otter), 143 nucleotides long. RefSeq annotates it as U4 spliceosomal RNA. The record is from RefSeq and is a predicted model, not a curated record. The transcript has a single exon. NCBI's taxonomy places the organism in Eukaryota, Metazoa, Chordata, Mammalia, Carnivora, Mustelidae.